This 464-nucleotide ribosomal RNA is filed under the name uncultured bacterium. RNAcentral describes it as "bacterial SSU rRNA". It matches the Rfam family "Bacterial small subunit ribosomal RNA", at positions 29 to 506 of the family's 1533-position model. The record is from RNAcentral.
AUGAACGUUGGCGGCGUGGAUUAGGCAUGCAAGUCGAGCGAGAAUCCCCGCAAGGGGAGGAAAGCGGCGAAAGGGAGAGUAAUACGUAGGUACCUGCCCCCGGGUUCGGGAUAGCUGCGGGAAACUGCAAUUAAUACCGGAUGACGUCCCUGGACCAAAGGUGUGAUUCCGCCAGGGGAUGGGCCUGCGUCCUAUUAGCUUGUUGGUGAGGUAAUGGCCCACCAAGGCCAAGAUGGGUACGGGGUGUGAGAGCAUGCCCCCGCUCACUGGGACUGAGACACUGCCCAGACACCUACGGGUGGCUGCAGUCGAGAAUCUUCCGCAAUGGGCGCAAGCCUGACGGAGCGACGCCGCGUGCGGGAUGAAGGCCUUCGGGUUGUAAACCGCUGUCAGUGGGGAGCAAAUGCAUCAGGGUACUCCCUGGUGUUUGAGCGAUCCGCAGAGGAAGCACAGGCUAAUUCCGU